UACGUAGGUGGCAAGCGUUGUCCGGAUUUAUUGGGCGUAAAGGGCGCGCAGGUGGUGUGCUAAGUCUGCCGUGAAAUCUCCCGGCUCAACUGGGAGGCUGCGGUGGAGACUGGCACGCUUGAGGUACCUAGAGGUCGGUGGAAUUCCCGGUGUAGUGGUGAAAUGCGUAGAGAUCAGGAGGAACACCAGUGGCGAAGGCGGCCGGCUGGGGGUGACCUGACGCUGAGGCGCGAAAGCGUGGGGAGCGAACAGG
RNAcentral lists this ribosomal RNA (253 nucleotides) under uncultured bacterium. RNAcentral describes it as "partial 16S ribosomal RNA". It matches the Rfam family "Bacterial small subunit ribosomal RNA", at positions 524 to 776 of the family's 1533-position model. The record is from RNAcentral.